Molecule: ribosomal RNA, 468 nt
Filed under: uncultured bacterium
Lineage: Bacteria
Description: partial 16S ribosomal RNA
Rfam family: Bacterial small subunit ribosomal RNA
Source: RNAcentral
GACGAACGCUGGCGGCGUGCUUAACACAUGCAAGUCGAACGGAAAGGCCCUGCUUUUGUGGGGUGCAUGAUUGCCGAACGGGUGAGUAACACGUGAGUAACCUGUCCUUGACUGUGUGAUAACUUCAGGAAACUGGGGCUCAUAUCCGAUAGGAGCUCCUGCUGCAUGGUGGUGGUAGGAAAGUUUCGGCGGUGGGGGAUGGACUCGCGGCUUAUCAGCUUGUUGGUGGAGUAGUGGCUUACCAAGGGUUUGACGGGUAGCCGGCAUGAGAGGGUGACCGGCCACAUUGGGACUGAGGUACGGCGCAGACUCCUACGGGAGGCAGCAGUGGGGAAUAUUGCACAAUGGGCGGAAGCCUGAGGCAGCAGCGCCGCGUGCGGGAUGACGGCCUUCGGGUUGUGAACCGAUUUCGCCUGUGACGAAGCGUGAGUGACGGUAAUGGGUAAAGAAGCACCGGCUAACUACGUG